This is a long non-coding RNA of Priapulus caudatus, 2883 nucleotides long. RefSeq lists it as uncharacterized. The record is from RefSeq and is a predicted model, not a curated record. NCBI's taxonomy places the organism in Eukaryota, Metazoa, Priapulida, Priapulimorpha, Priapulimorphida, Priapulidae. The transcript has 2 exons.
AUCAAGGAUAUAGCUAUACUUGAUUCUGACAAGUGUGUCGAUUCAUUUGGGCUUGACCCUGAGAAGGACACCAAAUUUAUCUUUGGAUGUACUGGUUCAUGUAGUAAGACCAAGGUUGUGGAUGCAGAAGGAAUGACAAGGUACACACGAACAUGUGCGAUUAUUGCCUCCAAGGAAGAUAAAUGCUCGGAUACUGAAGCAGCUGAUGGUACCAAGACUACCGUGUGCUACUGCAACAGCCAGCACUGUAAUGGUGGAGAGUCUGUCAGGGCACAAAUCUCCGUGUUUCUGACUGCAAUUGGAUUGAUGUAUAUCUACUUUUCCUAAUCAGGUCAGAUCACAAUCGUCUACAAUCAACCUGGUACUCUCUUGUAGGUGUUGAUUUGAUAUCAGAUAAGUGAUUGUUCCUUGGAGGGCAAUUACCCCCUGUCAUGAUGUAGUACAUUAAAUUUUCAUAUCGUUUUGCUAAUAGAAAUUCAACUACCUGCUUAUCAGUGUAAAAAAGAUAGAUAGUUUGUGUGUGAUAUACUUAUAUACUAGGCUAUUACAUGACAGGUGAAAUAUCAAUGUGGUUUUAGGAUAGAUGGUUUUUAAAAUAUAAAAGUUGUACUGCAUAUUAACAAUGCAGCAUGUUGUCCAAAUAUGCACUAGUGCUUAUCUUUGUAUUAUUCUGAUAUCACAUGCAGUAGGAAAUAGCAUAUAUUUGAUUCUAAUUAUGACAUAUAUAUAUAUAUAUCCACAGUAAGAACCUAGUGAACUAUAUUCCAUGAUCACCAGUAUUGUGCAGGCAUCUGUUUCUUCUGUGAUCUCUUAUUAGCUCAAAAACGAAAAUGCAUGUACCUGGGGUGAACACCUUGUGUAUGUGUUAUUGGUCUGCAGAGGUAGCUCGUAAACUUGAGAUUUUUUAAAGAAUUUUGUGACAAAUAUAGUCCACUUUCGUGCAUUCUGUGCAUGAAAAGUUCUUUAGUUAACCCUGUAUCCAUCACUGGUUAUUUUCCUAGCAUGAUCGUAGGUCUCACCUCACCCCUGACACAUCUCACGUUAACCACUGAUCGCUCAUGGAGCUUGUGGAAUGGCACUGGCAUCAGUUCAUAAUAGCAAUAACAGGAAAAAUCACAACAGCUUUGCAAUAUAUGCUAUGCUGAAGGGUGUGCAAAAAUUCACCACUAAGAGCAGGAAAAUGUGAGUCACCAGUAGCGGAUCCAGGGGAAGGGGCACAGGGGGCAGUCGCCACCCUAGAAUUUUCAGGGCAAGGGUAUUUUAGCUUAACACCUUCCCCCCUCGGCCGCUUUGUGCCCUUGAGCUCGCAUGAUCCCCCACUUGUCAAUGCCAUCAGUCAAACAAAGUGGUGAUAGCCAAUUUCUCCAAUAACUUGAGACAUAGGGUCAGUACUUUACAAGUUACAUCCACACAACAGUAUGAGGACUCUAAAUGGCCUCACUAACAUUUAUUUGGGAUAUAUAUAUGGUUACAAAUCAGCUAGAUUGAGUUUAAGCUUGGAGAAAUCAUUCUGACGAAGAUUGAUGUCAGAAUGAUUACUCCAAGGUUUCGGUCAUUGAUCAAAGGGAGGUUAAUUAUAGUGGCUGGAACCGCAGUAGUACAGAGAGUGGUCCGAUUUUAUUAUUUAAUAUACUGAACAAGGAUUUGUAGCGUUCGUCUCUGGGACGUAGGGCCAUAGCGGAAAAUAACUUUGUGUGUGUACAUGUGUGCUGAAAUACACUGCAGUGUAAUAUCAGCACUAAAUUCAUGUAAAGGUCAAUGCUCAUUAAUAAAUGUGUGGUUUAUUUAUUUUUAUUUCUAUCCAUGGUCUGACAGGCCUAGUAAGAAGCAUAUAUUUCCAAUUAUAGAAAGAUGCAGGAAAUGUAUUUCUACAUUUAAAAAAAUUGUUUUAUUGUACUGUACUUUAAAUUUGAUCUUUAUAGUCGUAAUUUCAUUGCAUUCUUCGGUGCCAUAUGCAGAUGAUUUUUUAAUAUACCGGUACUUUGAUAUGUUCUGUCCCUACUGUUGUAUGGUGUGUUAUUAUGUGUUGCCAGCCUGAUUACAUUAAUUGUGUACUGCAAAAGCCAUUGUAACAUGUGAAAGGUCAGUGCUAUGAAAAAGUUCCAUGGACCAUGGUGCUUUGGUUCUGUGGUUGCAGCCUAUACAUAAUGCCAGCAUGCACAAGAUUAUGAGAUUACCUUCAAGCUGCAUGGUAGGCGUAUUUAGAUAGCCAACCUUUCUUAUAGCUGGUGCAUAUAUACUCUCAAUUCAUUGUUUCGCGCUCUCUCUCCUAAUCCUAUUCUAACCCUCUGCAUUCCCUUUUCUUUGCUACCCGCGUACAGUUUUGUUGCUUCCAUUAUUCUACCAAGGAAGGGCUCUACUUUCAGCCUUCUUUUCAUUUGCUUUCUUCCCUAACACAUAGAUCGACUUCUUUGUCUUCCUCUCGUACCUCCUCAUACAAUUAGAUCGCUGCCUUUCCCACCUUUUCCACCACCACCUCCAUAAUCUUAUUCCCUACCUUAUCCUCCACAAUCUUUUGUAAAUUCAACCAUCUGUGUCUAGAUGAAAACCAAUGCUAUUAUUAUGGUACAUAAUGUUGUAUUUUAGACUGCAACUAGGCUAUGUCAGUAUGUGCAAAACACAAUGAUCGUUUACUCUGCGUAUAUCUAUUAUAUAUGCUAUUUGAAUUUUGAUAUAAUUAUACAGUUGUCAUUUUAAUAAUUGUAUUUUAUGUGUGAAUUCGAUGCAACAUCGAGCAAUGAUAAUGAUAAUUUUUAUUUUUAUUCACGCUUGUAAGCAUUUUACAGCGUAGGUAUAUGUCCGAUCAUAGGUCCGAUACAAAAUUUCACUGUAGUGUAGGCACACAGCUUCUAAAGUAAAUAAAGGCAACUUUGAAGACAAUAA